AAACGCUACUACAGGCUUACCACUGCUAGUGAGGGGCCGAUAUUAGUUUGCUUGCAAACUGAAGAUGGAGACGGCGCACGGGUGAGUAACACGUAUCCAACCUGCCGAUAACUCCGGGAUAGCCUUUCGAAAGAAAGAUUAAUACCGGAUAGUAUACGAAUAUCGCAUGAUAUUUUUAUUACAGAAUUUCGGUUAUCGAUGGGGAUGCGUUCCAUUAGUUUGUUGGCGGGGUAACGGCCCACCAAGACUACGAUGGAUAGGGGUUCUGAGAGGAAGGUCCCCCACAUUGGAACUGAGACACGGUCCAAACUCCUACGGGAGGCAGCAGUGAGGAAUAUUGGUCAAUGGGCGAGAGCCUGAACCAGCCAAGUAGCGUGAAGGAUGAAGGCUCUAUGGGUCGUAAACUUCUUUUAUAUGGGAAUAAAGUUUUCCACGUGUGGAAUUUUGUAUGUACCAUAUGAAUAAGGAUCGGCUAACUCCGUGCCAGCAGCCGCGGUAAUACGGAGGAUCCGAGCGUUAUCCGGAUUUAUUGGGUAUAAAGGGAGCGUAGGUGGAUUGUUAAGUCAGUUGUGAAAGUUUGCGGCUCAACCGUAAAAUUGCAGUUGAUACUGGAUCUCUUGAGUGCAGUUGAGGCAGGCGGAACUCGUGGUGUACCGGUCAACUGCUUAGAUAUCACGAAGAACUCCGAUCGCGCACGCAAGCUGCUAUGCUGCACUGACAUGAAGCUCGCAGUGUGGGU
RNAcentral lists this ribosomal RNA (739 nucleotides) under uncultured Bacteroides sp. RNAcentral describes it as "bacterial SSU rRNA". It matches the Rfam family "Bacterial small subunit ribosomal RNA", at positions 31 to 766 of the family's 1533-position model. The record is from RNAcentral. Lineage: Bacteria; Pseudomonadati; Bacteroidota; Bacteroidia; Bacteroidales; Bacteroidaceae.